GUGGCUCUACCGGAACCCCUACGUGGAGGCGGAGUAUUUCCCCACCAAGCCGAUGUUUGUGCGUGGAGAAAGAUCGUCUCUCCUCCCUCCCCAUGACCGGGCUUCCCGCGGGCACCUCUGCCAGCCUUGCCCUGGCUCUGAAUGGCGUCUUUACCAACACAAUAAAACUGAUCGUAGGGAGGCCACGCCCAGAUUUCUUCUACCGCUGCUUCCCUGAUGGGCUAGCCCAUUCUGACUUGAUGUGUACAGGGGAUAAGGACGUGGUGAAUGAGGGCCGAAAGAGCUUCCCCAGUGGACAUUCUUCCUGUAUGAAUAUCAUAUGGACUCUACCCUAUGCUUGUUUUCACAUCAUUGAAUUUAACCUAGAAAGCUAGUAGGGAUGGGAAAAUCUG
RNAcentral lists this small RNA (392 nucleotides) under Pan troglodytes (chimpanzee). RNAcentral's name for it is "processed transcript". The record is from RNAcentral. Lineage: Eukaryota; Metazoa; Chordata; Mammalia; Primates; Hominidae.